GACGAACGCUGGCGGCGUGCCUAAUACAUGCAAGUCGAACGCAGUGGGGACGGGUGAGUAACACGUGGGUAACCUCCCAUCAGAGGGGAUAACACUUGGAAACAAGUGCUAAACCGAUACUGAUGGAUGGACCCGCGGUGCAUUAGCUAGUUGGUGGGGUAACGGCGCACCAAGGCCACGAUGCAUAGGCGGCCUGAGAGGGGGAUGGGCCACCCUGGGACUGAGACACGGCCAAGACGCCUACGGGGGGCAGCAGUAGGGAAUCUUCGGCAAUGGACGAAAGUCGGACCGAGCAACGCCGCGUGAGUGAAGAAGGUUUUCGGGUCGUAAAGCUCUGUUGUUAGAGAAGCGGUAUCUAACCAGAAAGCCACGGCUAACUACGGGCCAGCAGCCGCGGUAAUUC
This 403-nucleotide ribosomal RNA is filed under the name uncultured bacterium. Its description in RNAcentral is "partial 16S ribosomal RNA". It matches the Rfam family "Bacterial small subunit ribosomal RNA", at positions 28 to 526 of the family's 1533-position model. The record is from RNAcentral.